CAGCCGCCACGGUAAUACGAAGGGGGCUAGCGUUGCUCGGAAUCACUGGGCGUAAAGGGUGCGUAGGCGGGUUUUUAAGUCAGAGGUGAAAUCCUGGAGCUCAACUCCAGAACUGCCUUUGAUACUGAAAGUCUUGAGUAUGGGAGAGGUGAGUGGAACUGCGAGUGUAGAGGUGAAAUUCGUAGAUAUUCGCAAGAACACCAGUGGCGAAGGCGGCUCACUGGCCCAUAACUGACGCUGAGGCACGAAAGCGUGGGGAGCAAACAGGAUUAGAUACCCCCGUAGUCCCUGUCUCUUAUAC
This 301-nucleotide ribosomal RNA is filed under the name uncultured bacterium. RNAcentral describes it as "partial 16S ribosomal RNA". It matches the Rfam family "Bacterial small subunit ribosomal RNA", at positions 509 to 807 of the family's 1533-position model. The record is from RNAcentral.